Molecule: ribosomal RNA, 468 nt
Filed under: uncultured bacterium
Lineage: Bacteria
Description: partial 16S ribosomal RNA
Rfam family: Bacterial small subunit ribosomal RNA
Source: RNAcentral
GACGAACGCUGGCGGCGUGCUUAACACAUGCAAGUCGAACGGUGAUGCUCCAGCUUGCUGGAGUGGAUCAGUGGCGAACGGGUGAGUAACACGUGAGCAACCUGCCCCAGACUCUGGAAUAAGCUCUGGAAACGGCGUCUAAUACUGGAUACGAAACUGGCCCGCAUGGGCAUGGUUUGGAAAGUUUUUCGGUUUGGGAUGGGCUCGCGGCCUAUCAGCUUGUUGGUGAGGUAAUGGCUCACCAAGGCGACGACGGGUAGCCGGCCUGAGAGGGCGACCGGCCACACUGGGACUGAGACACGGCCCAGACUCCUACGGGAGGCAGCAGUGGGGAAUAUUGCACAAUGGGCGAAAGCCUGAUGCAGCGACGCCGCGUGAGGGAUGACGGCCUUCGGGUUGUAAACCUCUUUCAGCAGGGAAGAAGCGAAAGUGACGGUACCUGCAGAAGAAGCACCGGCUAACUACGUG